RNAcentral lists this long non-coding RNA (170 nucleotides) under Cricetulus griseus (Chinese hamster). RNAcentral describes it as "lncRNA (ENSCGRG00000025940.1)". The record is from RNAcentral. Lineage: Eukaryota; Metazoa; Chordata; Mammalia; Rodentia; Cricetidae.
ACUGCCACAGAUUUCUGGGAAACCUCACAGUUCCAUAAACUAGAACAUCGGUUAUAGCUCUCUGUAAGGAACAAGGUGGUGAGAACACAACGCUUCACAACCCCUCCAAGAAGUGCUCUGUAGAAGUGACAAGUUUUAGGGAAGAAUGGUUGACAAAGCUCUGAAGAUCA